AACGAACGCUGGCGGCAUGCCUAACACAUGCAAGUCGAACGAGACCUUCGGGUCUAGUGGCGCACGGGUGCGUAACGCGUGGGAACCUGCCUUUAGGUUCGGAAUAACUCAGAGAAAUUUGAGCUAAUACCGGAUAAUGUCUUCGGACCAAAGAUUUAUCGCCUUUAGAUGGGCCCGCGUUGGAUUAGCUAGUUGGUGGGUAAGGCCUACCAAGGCGACGAUCCAUAGCUGGUCUGAGAGGAUGAUCAGCCACACUGGGACUGAGACACGGCCCAGACUCCUACGGGAGGCAGCAGUGGGGAAUAUUGGACAAUGGGCGAAAGCCUGAUCCAGCAAUGCCGCGUGAGUGAUGAAGGCCUUAGGGUUGUAAGCUCUUUUACCCGAGAUGAU
Molecule: ribosomal RNA, 390 nt
Filed under: uncultured bacterium
Lineage: Bacteria
Description: bacterial SSU rRNA
Rfam family: Bacterial small subunit ribosomal RNA
Source: RNAcentral